Molecule: ribosomal RNA, 446 nt
Filed under: uncultured bacterium
Lineage: Bacteria
Description: partial 16S ribosomal RNA
Rfam family: Bacterial small subunit ribosomal RNA
Source: RNAcentral
CCUACGGGGGGCAGCAGUCGAGAAUCAUUCACAAUGGGGGAAACCCUGAUGGUGUGACGCCGCGUGGGGGAAUGAAGGUCUUCGGAUUGUAAACCCCUGUCAUGUGGGAGCAAAUUAAAAAGAUAGUACCACAAGAGGAAGAGACGGCUAACUCUGUCCCAGCAGCCGCGGUAAUACAGAGGUCUCAAGCGUUGUUCGGAAUCACUGGGCGUAAAGGGUGCGUAGGCUGUUUCGUAAGUCGUGUGUGAAAGGCGCGGGCUCAACCCGCGGACGGCACAUGAUACUGCGAGACUAGAGUAAUGGAGGGGGAACCGGAAUGCUCGGUGUAGCAGUGAAAUGCGUAGAUAUCGAGAGGAACACUCGUGGCGAAGGCGGGUUCCUGGACAUUAACUGACGCUGAGGCACGAAGGCCAGGGGAGCGAAAGGGAUUAGAUACCCUGGUAGUC